This 140-nucleotide non-coding RNA is filed under the name Paramoeba aestuarina. The record is from RNAcentral. Lineage: Eukaryota; Discosea; Flabellinia; Dactylopodida; Paramoebidae.
AAAGAGAAAGAGAGAAAGAGAAAGAAAGAGAACAACACUCCACUCUUUUGUGUUCUUCUCCUUCUUCUUCUUGUUUCCCUCUUCUUGCACUUGAUGAAAAGGGCUGAGAGGGAGAUAAAAGAGAGGAGUAGAAAGGGAGA